GGUCAGAUAGCUCAGUUGGUUAUAGCAUCUGGAAUAUAACCAGAAGGCCCUGGGUUCAAUCCCCAGUCUAGUCA
This 74-nucleotide transfer RNA is filed under the name Lentinula lateritia. RNAcentral's name for it is "tRNA-Ile". It matches the Rfam family "tRNA". Rfam says of the family: Transfer RNA (tRNA) molecules are approximately 80 nucleotides in length. Their secondary structure includes four short double-helical elements and three loops (D, anti-codon, and T loops). Further hydrogen bonds mediate the characteristic L-shaped molecular structure. tRNAs have two regions of fundamental functional importance: the anti-codon, which is responsible for specific mRNA codon recognition, and the 3' end, to which the tRNAs corresponding amino acid is attached (by aminoacyl-tRNA synthetases). tRNAs cope with the degeneracy of the genetic code in two manners: having more than one tRNA (with a specific anti-codon) for a particular amino acid; and 'wobble' base-pairing, i.e. permitting non-standard base-pairing at the 3rd anti-codon position. The record is from RNAcentral. Lineage: Eukaryota; Fungi; Basidiomycota; Agaricomycetes; Agaricales; Omphalotaceae.